Molecule: ribosomal RNA, 513 nt
Filed under: uncultured bacterium
Lineage: Bacteria
Description: partial 16S ribosomal RNA
Rfam family: Bacterial small subunit ribosomal RNA
Source: RNAcentral
GACGAACGCUGGCGGCAUGCCUAAUACAUGCAAGUCGAGCGAACAGAUGAAGUGCUUGCACUUCUGACGUUAGCGGCGAACGGGUGAGUAACACGUAAGGAAUCUACCUAUAAGCGGGGGAUAACAUUCGGAAACGGGUGCUAAUACCGCAUAAUAUCUUCUUCCGCAUGGAAGAAGAUUGAAAGACGGCUCUGCUGUCACUUAUAGAUGACCUUGCGGUGCAUUAGUUAGUUGGGGGGGUAACGGCCUACCAAGAAGAUGAUGCAUAGCCGACCUGAGAGGGUGAUCGGCAACAUUGGGACUGAGACACGGCCCAAACUCCUACGGGAGGCAGCAGUAGGGAAUCUUCCGCAAUGGGCGAAAGCCUGACGGAGCAAUGCCGCGUGAGUGAAGAAGGCCUUCGGGUCGUAAAACUCUGUUAUAAGAGAAGAACAAAUUGUAGAGUAACUGCUACAGUCUUGACGGUAUCUUAUUAGAAAGCCACGGCUAACUACGUGCCAGCCGCCGCGGUAA